AACGAACGCUGGCGGCAUGCCUAACACAUGCAAGUCGAACGACAGCACAGGGAGAGGUUGCGCUUGCGUGCGUCACGUGGCGGAAGCUGCCCUUAGGCUCGGGAAACUACUCUUUCAGGGGGGCUAACAUAGGGAAACUUACGCUGACAACACAUAUAACGUACUUGGGUGGGCAGGCGUUGGAUUAGCCUGUUGGUAGUGUAAAAGCCUACCAAGGCUACGAUCGUUAGCUGGGUUGAGAGGAUGAUCAGCCGCACUGGGACUGAGAUACGGCCCAGAAUCCUACGGGAGGCAGGAGUGGGGGAUAUUGGACAAUGGGCGAAAGCCUGAUCCAGCAAUGCCGCGUGAGUGAUGAAGGCCUUAGGGUUGUAAAGCUCUUUUACCCGGGAUGAUAAUGACAGUACCGGGAGAAUAAGCUCCGGCUAACUCCGUG
Molecule: ribosomal RNA, 433 nt
Filed under: uncultured bacterium
Lineage: Bacteria
Description: partial 16S ribosomal RNA
Rfam family: Bacterial small subunit ribosomal RNA
Source: RNAcentral